UACGAAGGGGGCUAGCGUUGCUCGGAAUCACUGGGCGUAAAGCGCACGUAGGCGGACUCUUAAGUCGGUGGUGAAAUCCUGGAGCUCAACUCCAGAACUGCCUUCGAUACUGAGAGUCUCGAGUCCGAGAGAGGUGAGUGGAACUGCGAGUGUAGAGGUGAAAUUCGUAGAUAUUCGCAAGAACACCAGUGGCGAAGGCGGCUCACUGGCCCGGUACUGACGCUGAGAUGCGAAAGCGUGGGGAGCAAACAGG
RNAcentral lists this ribosomal RNA (253 nucleotides) under uncultured bacterium. RNAcentral's name for it is "partial 16S ribosomal RNA". It matches the Rfam family "Bacterial small subunit ribosomal RNA", at positions 524 to 776 of the family's 1533-position model. The record is from RNAcentral.